This 504-nucleotide ribosomal RNA is filed under the name uncultured bacterium. RNAcentral's name for it is "partial 16S ribosomal RNA". It matches the Rfam family "Bacterial small subunit ribosomal RNA", at positions 30 to 523 of the family's 1533-position model. The record is from RNAcentral.
AUUGAACGCUGGCGGCAUGCUUUACACAUGCAAGCCGAACGGCAGCAUGUCCUCCGGGAUGAUGGCGAGUGGCGAACGGGUGAGUAAUGCAUCGGAAUGUACCGUGUAAUGGGGGAUAACUGUCCGAAAGGAUAGCUAAUACCGCAUACGCUCUGAGGAGGAAAGCUGGGGAUCUGGAAACGGACCUGGCGUUAUACGAGCAGCCGAUGUCCGAUUAGCUAGUUGGUGAGGUAAAGGCUCACCAAGGCGGCGAUCGGUAGCGGGUCUGAGAGGGCGAACCGCCACACUGGAACUGAGAGACGGUACAGACGCCUACGGGAGGCAGCAGUGGGGAAUUUUGGACAAUGGGCGCAAGCCUGAUCCAGCAAUGCCGCGUGAGUGAAGAAGGCCCUUGGGUUGUAAAGCUCUUUCGUUUGGGAAGAAGGAAUUGUGGUUAAUACCCAUGAUGACAGACGGUACCAAAAUAAGAAGCACCGGCUAACUACGUGCCAGCCGCCGCAGUAA